GUCUACGGACAUGUCACAGAGUGAAAGAGGAAGAUGUCAUUGCAUAAUCUCCGGUAGAAGGAUACUUAUAUGUCUAUGUGUUUUAUGAUAUAUUGACAGAUCUUGUAGCUUUUGUGUUGACUCUCGUCACAGGAGAUGGAGAUGAAGAUAACCAUCCUGGUACUAAUCUCUCACGGCUGCAGCCAUCGAAUGGAAAGGUUGGUCAGGGGGGCAGGUUGAGAUGGGAACAUGGUGUAGAGAAUGCUGGUGGGAACGCAAUAAAAUACAGAUUGCCUACUGGGCUGACAGUACCUUCAAGCUGGAACCAGGUUACAAUCUGACUAGUGGGGAAAGCUGGACCACCCUGGUAAUCAACAAUGUCACCAAGGAAGAUGCUGGGAACUACACCUGUCAGAUGCACGACUACCUGACUCAGGCAGCACAGUUCAUGGUUCUCUCUUCACUGCUCCCAACCUGCACCACUACAGCCCCGUCGAUGAGAAUGGAGGUGUGCCGGGUUCUUCUUUUCCUGUAGACCACAAUCAUCUUAUUUGUCCUGAUCAUGUUGAAGGAGAGGUUGUUGUCCUGGCACCAGGGCUCCCGAGUGACGCAGUGGUUUAAGGCACUGUAUCUCAGUGCUAUAGCUGUCACUACAGACACCCUGGUUCGAUUCCAGGCUGUAU
Oncorhynchus mykiss (rainbow trout) is the source of this 662-nucleotide long non-coding RNA. RefSeq lists it as uncharacterized. The record is from RefSeq and is a predicted model, not a curated record. Lineage: Eukaryota; Metazoa; Chordata; Actinopteri; Salmoniformes; Salmonidae.